GACUAUUCAUCUUUAGGAAGACAGGUGUUUUGAAAGCACCUAAAAAGUGUUCGAAUCACUUAAUAGUCU
Molecule: transfer RNA, 69 nt
Filed under: Macrobrachium nipponense
Lineage: Eukaryota; Metazoa; Arthropoda; Malacostraca; Decapoda; Palaemonidae
Also listed under: 1 other name
Description: tRNA-Ser
Rfam family: tRNA
About the family: Transfer RNA (tRNA) molecules are approximately 80 nucleotides in length. Their secondary structure includes four short double-helical elements and three loops (D, anti-codon, and T loops).
Source: RNAcentral